AUUGAACGCUGGCGGCAUGCCUUACACAUGCGAGUCGAACGGUAACGGGCCUUCGGGUGCCGACGAGUGGCGAACGGGUGAGUAAUACAUCGGAACGUGCCCGAUCGUGGGGGAUAACGAGGCGAAAGCUUUGCUAAUACCGCAUACGAUCUACGGAUGAAAGCCGGGGACCGCAAGGCCUUGCGCGGGCGGAGCGGCCGAUGGCAGAUUAGGUAGUUGGUGGGAUAAAAGCUUACCAAGCCGACGAUCUGUAGCUGGUCUGAGAGGAUGAUCAGCCACACUGGGACUGAGACACGGCCCAGACUCCUACGGGAGGCAGCAGUGGGGAAUUUUGGACAAUGGGCGCAAGCCUGAUCCAGCCAUGCCGCGUGCAGGAUGAAGGCCUUCGGGUUGUAAACUGCUUUUGUACGGAACGAAAAGCCUUCUUUUAAUACAGGAGGGUCAUGACGGUACCGUAAGAAUAAGCACCGGCUAACUACGUG
Molecule: ribosomal RNA, 482 nt
Filed under: uncultured bacterium
Lineage: Bacteria
Description: partial 16S ribosomal RNA
Rfam family: Bacterial small subunit ribosomal RNA
Source: RNAcentral